UAGAGCUUGAUCAUGGCUCAGAUUGAACGCUGGCGGCAGGCCUAACACAUGCAAGUCGAGCGGUAGCACAGGGAGCUUGCUCCUGGGUGACGAGCGGCGGACGGGUGAGUAAUGUCUGGGAAACUGCCCGAUGGAGGGGGAUAACUACUGGAAACGGUAGCUAAUACCGCAUAACGUCUUCGGACCAAAGUGGGGGACCUUCGGGCCUCACACCAUCGGAUGUGCCCAGAUGGGAUUAGCUAGUAGGUGAGGUAAUGGCUCACCUAGGCGACGAUCCCUAGCUGGUCUGAGAGGAUGACCAGCCACACUGGAACUGAGACACGGUCCAGACUCCUACGGGAGGCAGCAGUGGGGAAUAUUGCACAAUGGGCGCAAGCCUGAUGCAGCCAUGCCGCGUGUGUGAAGAAGGCCUUCGGGUUGUAAAGCACUUUCAGCGAGGAGGAAGGGUUCGGUGUUAAUAGCACCUGUUCAUUGACGUACU
Molecule: ribosomal RNA, 481 nt
Filed under: Serratia sp. 01WB03.2-5
Lineage: Bacteria; Pseudomonadati; Pseudomonadota; Gammaproteobacteria; Enterobacterales; Yersiniaceae
Description: bacterial SSU rRNA
Rfam family: Bacterial small subunit ribosomal RNA
Source: RNAcentral